UGGGCAACCUGCCCCUCUCUCUGGGAUAACCCCGGGAAACCGGAGCUAAUACCGGAUACUCCGGCUGGAUCGCAUGGUCCGGCCGGGAAAGGUCCGCCGGAGAGGGAUGGGCCCGCGGCCUAUCAGCUUGUUGGUGGGUCAUGGCUCACCAAGGCGACGACGGGUAGCUGGUCUGAGAGGACGACCAGCCACACUGGAACUGAGAUACGGUCCAGACUCCGUAGGGAGCA
This 230-nucleotide ribosomal RNA is filed under the name uncultured bacterium. Its description in RNAcentral is "partial 16S ribosomal RNA". It matches the Rfam family "Bacterial small subunit ribosomal RNA", at positions 118 to 347 of the family's 1533-position model. The record is from RNAcentral.